This 468-nucleotide ribosomal RNA is filed under the name uncultured bacterium. RNAcentral describes it as "partial 16S ribosomal RNA". It matches the Rfam family "Bacterial small subunit ribosomal RNA", at positions 28 to 507 of the family's 1533-position model. The record is from RNAcentral.
GACGAACGCUGGCGGCGUGCUUAACACAUGCAAGUCGAACGGAAAGGCCCUGCUUUUGUGGGGUGCUCGAGUGGCGAACGGGUGAGUAACACGUGAGUAACCUGCCCUUGACUUUGGGAUAACUUCAGGAAACUGGGGCUAAUACCGGAUAGGAGCUCCUGCUUCAUGGUGGGGGUUGGAAAGUUUCGGCGGUUGGGGAUGGACUCGCGGCUUAUCAGCUUGUUGGUGGGGUAGUGGCUUACCAAGGCUUUGACGGGUAGCCGGCCUGAGAGGGUGACCGGCCACAUUGGGACUGAGAUAAGGCACAGACUACUACGGGAGGCAGCAGUGGGGAAUAUUGCACAAUGGGCGGAAGCCUGAUGCAGUCAAGCCGCGUGCGGGAUGACGGCAUUCGGGUUGUAAACCGCUUUCGCCUGUGACGAAGCGUGAGUGACGGUAAUGGGUAAAGAAGCACCGGCUAACUACGUG